UGGGGGAAUAUUGCACAAUGGGCGCAAGCCUGAUGCAGCCAUGCCGCGUGUGUGAAGAAGGCCUUCGGGUUGUAAAGCACUUUCAGCGAGGAGGAAGGUGGUGAGCUUAAUACGCUCAUCAAUUGACGUUACUCGCAGAAGAAGCACCGGCUAACUCCGUGCCAGCAGCCGCGGUAAUACGGAGGGUGCAAGCGUUAAUCGGAAUUACUGGGCGUAAAGCGCACGCAGGCGGUUUGUUAAGUCAGAUGUGAAAUCCCCGGGGCUCAACCUGGGAACUGCAUUUGAAACUGGCAAGCUAGAGUCUCGUAGAGGGGGGUAGAAUUCCAGGUGUAGCGGUGAAAUGCGUAGAGAUCUGGAGGAAUACCGGUGGCGAAGGCGGCCCCCCUGGACGAAGACUGACGCUCAGGUGCGAAAAGCGUGGGGAGCAAACA
Molecule: ribosomal RNA, 431 nt
Filed under: uncultured bacterium
Lineage: Bacteria
Description: partial 16S ribosomal RNA
Rfam family: Bacterial small subunit ribosomal RNA
Source: RNAcentral